GACGAACGCUGGCGGCGUGCUUAACACAUGCAAGUCGAACGGAAAGGCCCUGCUUUUGUGGGGUGCUCGAGUGGCGAACGAGUGAGUAACACGUGAGUAACCUGCCCUUGACUUUGGGAUAACUUCAGGAAACUGGGGCUAAUACCGGAUAGGAGCUCCUGCUGCAUGGUGGGGGUUGGAAAGUUUCGGCGGUUGGGGAUGGACUCGCGGCUUAUCAGCUUGUUGGUGGGGUAGUGGCUUACCAAGGCUUUGACGGGUAGCCGGCCUGAGAGGGUGACCGGCCACAUUGGGACUGAGAUACGGCCCAGACUCCUACGGGAGGCAGCAGUGGGGAAUAUUGCACAAUGGGCGGAAGCCUGAUGCAGCAACGCCGCGUGCGGGAUGACGGCCUUCGGGUUGUAAACCGCUUUCGCCUGUGACGAAGCGUGAGUGACGGUAAUGUGUAAAGAAGCACCGGCUAACUACGUG
This 468-nucleotide ribosomal RNA is filed under the name uncultured bacterium. RNAcentral's name for it is "partial 16S ribosomal RNA". It matches the Rfam family "Bacterial small subunit ribosomal RNA", at positions 28 to 507 of the family's 1533-position model. The record is from RNAcentral.